Manis javanica (Malayan pangolin) is the source of this 3820-nucleotide non-coding RNA. Lineage: Eukaryota; Metazoa; Chordata; Mammalia; Pholidota; Manidae. The record is from RefSeq and is a predicted model, not a curated record.
CACCUGAGCUGGGAUGUUCCUGAACAUGGAGACUGAAGCAUGUCCACAGCCACGCCGGCUCCCUCCAGCCUCUUCUAGCGCCCAGAGCCCCAGGAGAUGCAGAAGCAAGCACCAUGACAAAGCCAGAGGACAUUCAGACCCUCCUAGAACUCACAGUCCAGGGGACAGAGCAUCUGCCUCUGGGGGAACCCCAAUGACUAAGAUAUGGGACAAACCUGGGGGACUCUGUGAGCCCAGAAGAGGGGUACCUUGCCCAGCUGGAACAGAGAUCUAGACAAAUUCCUGAAGGAAGAGAAGACCAAGUUGAGAACUCCAGGGUUGGUCCUCCCCACCGGAAGCUGCUGGAAUCUGCAUGCCCCCUCAUCUGUCCCCAGCACCCACCAGGGUACAUCACAGAGGCUCAAGGAAUGUUUGCUGCAAGAGUGAGUGAUAAAGAGUCCACCAUCUACAAAACACUCUCCCCACAUGUUAUGUUAUUUUGUAUGACCACAUUGUAAAGGCAGGCUGGUUGAGUACUGCUAUAUCCAUUUCACUGAAGGCAAUAAGGAAUGACACCAGCAGACACACUGAGCGUCUCAAUGUCCCAGGCACAGCGCCCAGCACUUUACAAGCAGUUUCCCUUGUAAUCACCUCAACAAAACGAGGAGGUAGGGACCCUCAUUAUUCACUGGGACGAGGCUGAGGCUUGCCGAGGACAACUCGCUAAGGUCACACUGCUAGGACAGGACAGAGCUGGAUUUUAAACCUCAUUCUGUGUGUUGCCAAAGCCACCCUACUGCUAGACCAACCUCCUAAUGGCAUUGCUUUCCCUGUCCCCACCUCUGGACCUUGAGAUCUGAAGGAAGGAAGUGUCGUAUUUGUCCUUGCAUCUCUAGGGCCCAGCAGAGGGCUGGGUACAGGUAGGCACCAAUAAAUGCUGAUGAAAUGGACGGAUUGGUGAGUGGACAGACAGUUGGACAUCUGCCCCAGCUCUGUUGCAAGUGGGGAGUUUCUGCUUUCACGCGAUGCAAUCAGGAGAUGGGAGUUGGGUUUAACUUGGGGCUGAUCUUGUACCUGAGUUGUUCUGUCAUAAAAUAGGAGGGUGUGUCCUCACGGGGACACAGUGAACAACGUGCCUGCCUGCCAGGGCAUCAGAUAUGUGUUGCCAAACACUGAAGGCAAAAUGAAAUGUCCUAGGAGAGCAAACAGCCACCUCCUUCCUGUGCCAGGCAAGCAGGAUCAUUUUGCUCCAUGUACAUGUGUGUUCCUCUCCCUGAUGAUGGCCUUGGGAGAUAAUGUGCCCUGCAUGUGUCCCAGGGUGGGGAGAGCAGCUGCUGUGACUGUGGGUGGGUGCUCUAGGAAGCCAUGUGUCUGAGCUGGGUGGGCUCAGUCCCUUUCUAGGCCGCGAGAGAUUGGAGGGAAGCAGGAUCCUACGUUCUGGGGCCUGCUGGGGUCAGGGCUUGCCUCUCCUCCCAGCUCUGGGCAGAGCCUCAGUGUCUGCCCAGCAGACUCUGACCCACUGAUGUUGGAAUUGGAAUUAGUCAUUCUCUUCUAUGCUCUGCACGUUGGGCCCACAUGGCUGGACAUGGAACUUAGUUCUUGAUCUAUACCCGAGGUCUAAGUGCAAAACACAGGGCACCAAUUUCCACUUAUAUCUUAUCUGGCUUCCUCACCAGGGCCCUCAGCUUUGCUGAUGCAACCUUCUUUGGGUUCCAAGGUGGACAGAAACAAAUUUGAGAGUAGCUAACAUUUAUUGAGCAUUUGCUCUGUUAAAUGAGUUUCUCACAUAGGCUGUUGAUACCUCAAAGUGGCCAACAGCAUGGAUAUUCGAAGUAGCAAGUCUUGAGUUUUCAUUCUGACCCUUCUGCUGGUAACUGUGUGGGGAUGAGCAAGUCACUCCACCUGUCUGAGCUCUGUCUCCUUGCCUGCAGAAUGUUCGCACUGGUAAGAGUCUGUACCUCACAAGUGGUUGGGGAGUUUCAUGGAGACCUUGAAUACAUGUGCUUUUGCACAAGACCCAGCACACUGGAAAGGUGUGGUGAAGAGAGAGAAAAAGCACUGAGGGGGGCUGUGUGUAGGCCCUGGGGAAGGGGAUCAGCUGGGUCCCCACUCUGUGCUGGUGGUGGUUCUGCUUAGAACUGCAGGGCAAGGCAAGACCCUUCCCUGGAAGGACGGUGGUCCAAACUCUGUCCCAUGUGGCUGUACCAGAGAUACAUUUAGGCUUCUCUGAGCAAGAGCUCAGGCCAGGGCCUGGGAGAUGGAGCUGCCUGAGGGGAAGGGCUGGUGCUGGGGCAGGCAGAGGAGAAAAGAGACCCUGCAGCCUGGCUUCCUGGGGCUCUAGAGGGUCCCAACACCUGCUUUCCAUGCUUAGGUAUGAAUCCUGCCUGUUCCCAGGCAGGCUCUCUGCAGUUCUCUGGGCUGCUUCCGUAAACCGGGUGACUUGCCACAAAGCAGGUGACACUUAGUUCCUUCCCCACCGGUAUUCCAAAGGCCACGGGUGACUCUCAUCCUCUCACUGAAUGUCCUAGUGAAUUUUCUUUUCAAGAAAAAUGUUUGUUGAAUGAAUUAAUGAGAUGGGAGAAUGCUGUGGUUGCCUGGGAAAGAGACUGCUUGAAACAGGCUCAUCCACCCCUGUGGGGCAGGGCGUGCAGUCAGUCCCACUGGGUGUGCGCGUGGCCUGUGUGUGUGUGUGUGUGUGUGUGCAUGUGGGUGCACGUGGUGGAGGGGAAGAAUGGGGCGGCUACACCCCCCCAGCCACCCGCCACCCCCAGAGCCUAAGGUUUCCCAGGCGGGGUCUCAGUCUCUGGCGUUCACCCUCGCGGCUGCCGGGCUGGGGGCUGUCAGUCUGGGGCUGUUUUCCUGGGAGGGGCACCAGUCCUCACUGGGGGAUUUGUACCAGCAGCUAAGCAGAUAAUUGCUUGUCAGAUUGAUUGAAGGCUUUUCAAAAUGUCUUUUCCUUGAAACGUCCCCCAUCCCCCCCAAUGAGCAGAUUAUUUGAGUUGGAACCAUUUCCCCCUCAGCUUUUCUCCCUCCUUUCUCAAAGUAGUAAUUACCACCCCAGUAGCCCUCCACGGCGUUUCCUGUCAUUUGGAGGCCGAAGCCAGCGGCUGUUUCCUCCGCAGGGUGAACGACAAGCUGGCCAAUUAGGGAAAGCCCACCCCCAGCUGGGCCCCAGGGGCUCCCGCGGGCCUAGCUGCCCCCUGUGGGAAUGGUGGGUGGGAAGGAGCCGGAUGGCCGAGCAGCUGAGACAGCCCGGCCCUCUUCCAGAUCCCGGGGCUCCCCUCAUCCUCCGAAUCCCUAGUUCCUGUGCGUGUGCGUGCGCGCAUGUGGGCGGCUGUGGAUGCACACCUGCCAAUGUACAUGUGCACUUGCGGACAUGGGCUCUUUGACCCCAGUGAAGCCUUGUAACCGGGUCUCCAGCAGUGGUUCUUCCCAGGGAGCUCAGCCUCAAUCACUUCUUCAGGUCUGAAGAAUCUGCAGAGCGUCUGCCAUUUUAAGUGGGCUGGUGGCAGGCAGGAUGGGCAGCCGUGCGCUAAAGCAAGGACAGGCACUUGCUAAUCGCCAACUUCAGGUGGUGUGUUUACCGGUGCUCAUGGCACAAUUCUCUCCAUUUUUUAAUAUUUCCAGGUAUUUCCAAACUGUUCAAAAUAAAGUGUGGGUAGAAAGUUUGAAAGGCUGCUCUACCCACCCCUCUCCCACCCAGGAUUCAUAAUGGCCAGUCGCCUUGCACUUUGUUCUGGCGCUGGUCCUCCUCCUGUUUCUCCUCUUUCCCCAUCUUUUCCUCCUCCCUCUGGCUUCCCCUUCAGUUACAGAAGCCACAACUGAGCAGGACACAGCCCAA